RNAcentral lists this ribosomal RNA (451 nucleotides) under uncultured bacterium. RNAcentral's name for it is "partial 16S ribosomal RNA". It matches the Rfam family "Bacterial small subunit ribosomal RNA", at positions 354 to 796 of the family's 1533-position model. The record is from RNAcentral.
GUGGGGAAUAUUGGACAAUGGGCGGAAGCCUGAUCCAGCCAUGCCGCGUGUGUGAAGAAGGCCUUUUGGUUGUAAAGCACUUUAAGCGAGGAGGAGGCUCCUUUAGUUAAUACCUAAAGAGAGUGGACGUUACUCGCAGAAUAAGCACCGGCUAACUCUGUGCCAGCAGCCGCGGUAAUACAGAGGGUGCGAGCGUUAAUCGGAUUUACUGGGCGUAAAGCGUGCGUAGGCGGCUUUUUAAGUCGGAUGUGAAAUCCCUGAGCUUAACUUAGGAAUUGCAUUCGAUACUGGAAAGCUAGAGUAUGGGAGAGGAUGGUAGAAUUCCAGGUGUAGCGGUGAAAUGCGUAGAGAUCUGGAGGAAUACCGAUGGCGAAGGCAGCCAUCUGGCCUAAUACUGACGCUGAGGUACGAAAGCAUGGGGAGCAAACAGGAUUAGAUACCCUGGUAGUCC